UUCCCAGACUCCUACGGGAGGCAGCAGUGGGGAAUAUUGCACAAUGGGCGAAAGCCUGAUGCAGCGACGCCGCGUGAAGGAUGAAGUAUUUCGGUAUGUAAACUUCUAUCAGCAGGGAAGAAAAUGACGGUACCUGACUAAGAAGCCCCGGCUAACUACGUGCCAGCAGCCGCGGUAAUACGUAGGGGGCAAGCGUUAUCCGGAUUUACUGGGUGUAAAGGGAGCGUAGACGGCGAUGCAAGCCAGAUGUGAAAGCCCGGGGCUCAACCCCGGGACUGCAUUUGGAACUGUGUGGCUGGAGUGUCGGAGAGGCAAGUGGAAUUCCUAGUGUAGCGGUAAAAUGCGUAGAUAUUAGGAGGAACACCAGUGGCGAAGGCGGCUUGCUGGACGAUGACUGACGUUGAGGCUCGAAAGCGUGGGGAGCAAACAGGAUUAGAUACCCCCGUACA
RNAcentral lists this ribosomal RNA (449 nucleotides) under uncultured bacterium. Its description in RNAcentral is "bacterial SSU rRNA". It matches the Rfam family "Bacterial small subunit ribosomal RNA", at positions 328 to 794 of the family's 1533-position model. The record is from RNAcentral.